GUCAAGGUGCCGGAGUGGUUAACGGGUUCGCCUGCUAUCUUUCAGAAACAGUUGUUUCCGAAAUACAGUUCAGCGGAUGUCUUCGGACGCGCAGGUUCGAAUCCUGUCCUUGACG
Peziza echinospora is the source of this 115-nucleotide non-coding RNA. NCBI's taxonomy places the organism in Eukaryota, Fungi, Ascomycota, Pezizomycetes, Pezizales, Pezizaceae. The record is from the annotation of a GenBank genome assembly.